This 253-nucleotide ribosomal RNA is filed under the name uncultured bacterium. RNAcentral describes it as "partial 16S ribosomal RNA". It matches the Rfam family "Bacterial small subunit ribosomal RNA", at positions 524 to 776 of the family's 1533-position model. The record is from RNAcentral.
UACAGAGGUCUCGAGCGUUGUUCGGAUUCAUUGGGCGUAAAGCGCGCGCAGGUGGUUUCUUAAGUCUGAUGUGAAAGCCCACGGCUCAACCGUGGAGGGUCAUUGGAAACUGGGGAACUUGAGUGCAGGAGAGAAGAGUGGAAUUCCACGUGUAGCGGUGAAAUGCGUAGAGAUGUGGAGGAACACCAGUGGCGAAGGCGACUCUUUGGCCUGUAACUGACACUGAGGCGCGAAAGCGUGGGGAGCAAACAGG